UUUGGGCGUACAACAAAGGAGACGUGUCCUCAACGUGGAGCCCAGGGAAAUGAACCUCACUAACAGCAAGUUUUUACAAACUUGGAAAAGUGGAACAUAAAGCGUUGGGUGGAGUUUGGUAGGGCAUAUUUUAUUGCAGCCGAAGAAGUCAGACCCA
RNAcentral lists this non-coding RNA (157 nucleotides) under unclassified sequences. Its description in RNAcentral is "RT-3 RNA". It matches the Rfam family "RT-3 RNA". The record is from Rfam by way of RNAcentral.